CUUGGUCAUUUAGACGAAGUAAAAGUCGUAACAAGGUUUCCGUAGGUGAACCUGCGGAAGGAUCAUUAACAAAAGUAUGAGAGUGCACUUCAUUGUGGCUCCAAUCUUUUAACCAACCCUUCAAAUGGCCUCUGUUCAUGUUGAUGAUAAGUUGACAUGUUUCAUUGGCAAAAGCUGAUAGAUUAAAAACUUGAAGCAUUACCCCCCCAUUUACUUUAUAAUUCUAAACCUAGUGUAUAAAGAAUGUAAAACACCUUCAUUUAUGAAGAAAAAAAAAGUAUAACUUUUAACAAUGGAUCUCUAGGCUCUCACAUCGAUGAAGAACGCAGUGAAAUGUGAUAACUAAUGUGAAUUGCAGAAUUCAGUGAAUCAUCAAAUCUUUGAACGCACCUUGCGCCUUUUGGUUUUCCAAAAGGCACACCUGUUUGAGUGUCAUGAAAACACCCCUCAAUUAUCUAUUCUGUCUAGUUAUGGAAAGGAUGAUUGGAUAUUGAGUGUUGCCAUCAUUUGGCUCACUUUAAAAACAUAAGUCAUUUUUAAACUUGAGUUGGAUUGACUAUGAUGUGAUAAAAUAUCUUCAUCUAGGAAUGGUAUCUUGUGUACUGCCAGCUUCUUGCAAAGGAAAGGCUCAUAACCAGUGAUAGUGAAGUUUCACAACUUCAGCUACACACCUUAAAUUUAAGACCUCAAAUCAGGUGGGACUACCCGCUGAACUUAAGCAUAUCAAUAAGCGGAGGAAAAGAAACUAACCAGGAUUCCCCUAGUAACGGCGAGUGAAGAGGGAAAAGCCCAAAUUUGUAAUCUGGCUCUUUUAGAGCUCGAGUUGUAAUUUUAAGAACUGUUAUCUGUGCUGGACCGUGUACAAGUCUCCUG
Molecule: ribosomal RNA, 873 nt
Filed under: Nyssopsora koelreuteriae
Lineage: Eukaryota; Fungi; Basidiomycota; Pucciniomycetes; Pucciniales; Nyssopsoraceae
Description: eukaryotic LSU rRNA
Rfam family: 5.8S ribosomal RNA (bases 282-435)
Source: RNAcentral